This 330-nucleotide ribosomal RNA is filed under the name uncultured bacterium. RNAcentral describes it as "bacterial SSU rRNA". It matches the Rfam family "Bacterial small subunit ribosomal RNA", at positions 18 to 344 of the family's 1533-position model. The record is from RNAcentral.
CAUGGCUCAGAUUGAACGCUGGCAGAAGGCCUAACACAUGCAAGUCGAACGGUAACAUGAAGCAGCUUGCUGCUUUGCUGACGAGUGGCGGACGGGUGAGUAAUGUCUGGGAAACUGGCUGAUGGAGGGGGAUAACUACGGGAAACGGUAGCUAAUACCGCGUAACGUCGCAAGACAAAAGAGUGGGACCUUCGGGCCUCUUGCCAUCGGAUGUGCCCAGAUGGGAUUAGCUAGUAGGUGGGGUAACGGCUCACCUAGGCGACGAUCCCUAGCUGGUCUGAGAGGAUGACCAGCCACACUGGAACUGAGACACGGUCCAGACUCCUACGG